This 253-nucleotide ribosomal RNA is filed under the name uncultured bacterium. RNAcentral's name for it is "partial 16S ribosomal RNA". It matches the Rfam family "Bacterial small subunit ribosomal RNA", at positions 524 to 776 of the family's 1533-position model. The record is from RNAcentral.
UACGAAGGGGGCUAGCGUUGCUCGGAAUUACUGGGCGUAAAGGGCGCGUAGGCGGCACUGUUAGUCAGGCGUGAAAGUCCUGGGCUCAACCUGGGAACUGCGCUUGAUACGGCAGAGCUAGAGGAUGGAAGAGGCUCGCGGAAUUCCCAGUGUAGAGGUGAAAUUCGUAGAUAUUGGGAAGAACACCGGUGGCGAAGGCGGGUCUCUGGGCAAUAACUGACGCUGAGGAGCGAAAGCGUGGGGAGCGAACAGG